Long non-coding RNA from Mercenaria mercenaria, 1195 nucleotides. RefSeq lists it as uncharacterized. The record is from RefSeq and is a predicted model, not a curated record. NCBI's taxonomy places the organism in Eukaryota, Metazoa, Mollusca, Bivalvia, Venerida, Veneridae. The transcript is spliced from 3 exons.
ACUUUAAGUUAAUGGGACAACAGUUGCGGUAGGACUGCCUUGCCAGUACCAUAAAGAUGCAGACAACCAGGUGCACUGGUACUCUAUCGAUGCCGGUCACCAGAGGCACGCUGGUACCCUAUCGAUGCCAGUCGUCAGAGGUGCGCUGGACCCAUGUCAACAUUACAAUAAUCAACUGUUUUCAACAAGAUUUAAAAAAGGCAAGAAGACACUGAUUGACAUUAUUUAGAGACAUAGAAAAAGAAUCGAAUGCAGAAAACAGAUAUCUUCAUGCUGUCCUGUGUUUGAUGUUCCCGACAGCCGACAGUCCAAUACAUGCCAGAUUGAUUUCAAAGGCACAAGUGAGAAAUAUCUGCAGAAGGAGGAACCAAGUAUGAUGAAUCAACAACAGAUCUGGCACAAGCAUAUAAGCAUGACACCGUCACAGCCGCCCUGACACAAACUUAGUUAAACAUAUGUCAGACAUGUAUAUAAUUAUACCCCCACUUACAAAGUAUAUGGGGCUAUAUUGGAGUCACGCAUGUUCGUCCGUCCGUCCAUCGUGUACGCCGGGAAUAUGAUAAAACUGGCUCAUCAAGACCAUGUGCAGAGCGUAAAACCUAGUCACUAGGCAUAAACUUAAGGUUACUGUUGGAGGUUAAAGGUCAAAUAGCUUAACUUCAUGUCGACUCCAUAUUGUCUAAACGGCGUAGAAGACAUUUAGCUCGACUUUUCGAAGAAUAAUGUAGGUUAUUGUUCUUGCCCUGGCAUCGACGUCACUGUCACCAUUGCAGUCAAGUGCCCUGGUAUCGAUGUCACUGCCACCAUUCAAAUUCAAAUUUCAGUCAAGUUCAAAUUUUAUGGCAACCUUCUCGAUUUCACUAUCUCUUAUAUUAACACCAAACUUCACAUAAGGGUUGGUCUUGGUAAGGGGCGGACAUCUAUUAGUUUAGGGUCAGGCAUCCUAAAGGUCAAUGUCACUGGGGUCAAAUAGUGCUGCUGGUUAAAGUUUUAUGACAAGCUUUUUGACACAAAUAAUAAGCAUGGAUAGACAGUGUGUCAUGCGCAACAACCAGGUCCCUAACUCAAAGGUCAAGGUCACAGUCGUUGGUUGAACUUCGCCAAUUUUCACUACAUAUAUACUGAUAAUGUGGUCUUCGUGUCCGGUCCAUAACUUUGACAUAAUUUAUAAAUAACUUAUGCCAGUAACCUUUCU